RNAcentral lists this ribosomal RNA (240 nucleotides) under uncultured Lactobacillus sp. Its description in RNAcentral is "partial 16S ribosomal RNA". It matches the Rfam family "Bacterial small subunit ribosomal RNA", at positions 123 to 355 of the family's 1533-position model. The record is from RNAcentral. Lineage: Bacteria; Bacillati; Bacillota; Bacilli; Lactobacillales; Lactobacillaceae.
AACCUGCCCCAUAGUCUGGGAUACCACUUGGAAACAGGUGCUAAUACCGGAUAAGAAAGCAGAUCGCAUGAUCAGCUUUUAAAAGGCGGCGUAAGCUGUCGCUAUGGGAUGGCCCCGCGGUGCAUUAGUUAGUUGGUAAGGUAAAGGCUUACCAAGGCGAUGAUGCAUAGCCGAGUUGAGAGACUGAUCUGCCACAUUGGGACUGAGAUACGGCCCAGACUCCUACGGGAGGCAGCAGUC